This 465-nucleotide ribosomal RNA is filed under the name Vreelandella stevensii. RNAcentral's name for it is "partial 16S ribosomal RNA". It matches the Rfam family "Bacterial small subunit ribosomal RNA", at positions 338 to 795 of the family's 1533-position model. The record is from RNAcentral. Lineage: Bacteria; Pseudomonadati; Pseudomonadota; Gammaproteobacteria; Oceanospirillales; Halomonadaceae.
CCUACGGGCGGCUGCAGUGGGGAAUAUUGGACAAUGGGCGAAAGCCUGAUCCAGCCAUGCCGCGUGUGUGAAGAAGGCCUUCGGGUUGUAAAGCACUUUCAGUGGGGAAGAAAGCCUUGGGGCUAAUACCCUCGAGGAAGGACAUCACCCACAGAAGAAGCACCGGCUAACUCCGUGCCAGCAGCCGCGGUAAUACGGAGGGUGCGAGCGUUAAUCGGAAUUACUGGGCGUAAAGCGCGCGUAGGCGGUCUGAUAAGCCGGUUGUGAAAGCCCCGGGCUCAACCUGGGAACGGCAUCCGGAACUGUCAGGCUAGAGUGCAGGAGAGGAAGGUAGAAUUCCCGGUGUAGCGGUGAAAUGCGUAGAGAUCGGGAGGAAUAUCAGUGGCGAAGGCGGCCUUCUGGACUGACACUGACGCUGAGGUGCGAAAGCGUGGGUAGCAAACAGGAUUAGAUACCCGUGUAGUC